This 76-nucleotide transfer RNA is filed under the name Pseudomonas lundensis. RNAcentral describes it as "tRNA-Val". It matches the Rfam family "tRNA". From Rfam's summary of the family: Transfer RNA (tRNA) molecules are approximately 80 nucleotides in length. Their secondary structure includes four short double-helical elements and three loops (D, anti-codon, and T loops). The record is from RNAcentral. Lineage: Bacteria; Pseudomonadati; Pseudomonadota; Gammaproteobacteria; Pseudomonadales; Pseudomonadaceae.
GGGGCUAUAGCUCAGCUGGGAGAGCAUCUGCCUUACAAGCAGAGGGUCGGCGGUUCGAUCCCGUUUAGCUCCACCA